UUAACAAAUUCCUAUUCGAAUUACCCAUUGGAUCAUCCAUCAAAAUCAAAUCAAAAGGAAACCUAUUCUUGACCAAAUCGAGCACCAAGUAGAUUUUCCUCUUAGGCCAAUUAACAAUGAGUCUAUGCAAACACAAAUUAGUGUUGUGAUUCCCAUAAAAUCCAGAACAAGGACAAGGCAAGCAGAACCCAACAACUUUCAAAAUCUUG
RNAcentral lists this unclassified non-coding RNA (209 nucleotides) under Hevea brasiliensis (rubber tree). Lineage: Eukaryota; Viridiplantae; Streptophyta; Magnoliopsida; Malpighiales; Euphorbiaceae. The record is from RNAcentral.